RNAcentral lists this ribosomal RNA (635 nucleotides) under Leucangium microspermum. Its description in RNAcentral is "partial 28S ribosomal RNA". It matches the Rfam family "Eukaryotic large subunit ribosomal RNA", at positions 57 to 709 of the family's 3401-position model. The record is from RNAcentral. Lineage: Eukaryota; Fungi; Ascomycota; Pezizomycetes; Pezizales; Morchellaceae.
AAAAGAAACCAACAGGGAUUGCCUCAGUAACGGCGAGUGAAGCGGCAACAGCUCAAAUUUUAAAGCUGGCGUCCUUGACGUCCGCAUUGUAAUUUGGAGAGGCACUUUCGGUUUGGGCGCCGGCCUAGGUUCCUUGGAACAGGACGUCACAGAGGGUGAGAAUCCCGUGCCGUCGGCUGUCCCAUUCCACGUGAAGUGUCUUCGACGAGUCGAGUUGUUUGGGAAUGCAGCUCAAAAUGGGUGGUAAAUUUCAUCUAAAGCUAAAUAUUGGUGGGAGACCGAUAGCGCACAAGUAGAGUGAUCGAAAGAUGAAAAGCACUUUGAAAAUAGAGUUAAAAAGUACGUGAAAUUGUUGAAAGGGAAGCGCUUGAGACCAGACUCGGCCUCGGACGAUCAGCCUCCCUUCUGGGCGGUGCACUCGUCUUUGGUCGGGCCAGCAUCGGUUGAGACGGCGGGACAAGGGCUUCGGGAAUGUGGCUCCUCUCGGGGAGUGUUAUAGCCCGUGGUGCAAUGCCGCCCGCCUCGACCGAGGACCGCGCUUCGGCUAGGAUGCUGGCGUAAUGGUCUUCAGCGACCCGUCUUGAAACACGGACCAAGGAGUCUAACACCUAUGCGAGUGUUUGGGUGUCAAACCC